UUUCUUCGGAAUGAAACUAGAUAUGACUUAGUGGCGGACGGGUGAGUAACACGUGAGCAACCUGCCUUUCAGAGGGGGAUAACAGAUGGAAACAUCUGCUAAUACCGCAUAAGACCACGAGAGGACAUCCUCUUGGGGUAAAAGGAGCAAUCUGGUUUGGGGUGAGCUCGCGUCCGAUUAGCUAGUUGGUGAGGUAACGGCCCACCAAGGCGACGAUCGGUAGCCGGACUGAGAGGUUGAACGGCCACAUUGGGACUGAGACACGGCCCAGACUCC
Molecule: ribosomal RNA, 276 nt
Filed under: uncultured Eubacteriales bacterium
Lineage: Bacteria; Bacillati; Bacillota; Clostridia; Eubacteriales
Description: uncultured Clostridiales bacterium partial 16S ribosomal RNA
Rfam family: Bacterial small subunit ribosomal RNA
Source: RNAcentral